AUUGAACGCUGGCGGCAUGCCUUACACAUGCAAGUCGAACGGUAACAGGUCUUCGGAUGCUGACGAGUGGCGAACGGGUGAGUAAUACAUCGGAACGUGCCUAGUAGUGGGGGAUAACUACUCGAAAGAGUGGCUAAUACCGCAUGAGAUCUACGGAUGAAAGCAGGGGAUCGCAAGACCUUGUGCUACUAGAGCGGCCGAUGGCAGGUUAGGUAGUUGGUGGGACAGAAGCUUACCAAGCCGACGAUCUGUAGCUGGUCUGAGAGGACGAUCAGCCACACUGGGACGGAGACACGGCCCAGACUCCUACGGGAGGCAGCAGUGGGGAAUUUUGGACAAUGGGCGCAAGCCUGAUCCAGCAAUGCCGCGUGCAGGAUGAAGGCCUUCGGGUUGUAAACUGCUUUUGUACGGAACGAAAAGCCCCGGGUUAAUACCCUGGGGUCAUGACGGUACCGUAAGAAUAAGCACCGGCUAACUACGUGCCAGCCGCCGCGGUAA
This 498-nucleotide ribosomal RNA is filed under the name uncultured bacterium. RNAcentral's name for it is "partial 16S ribosomal RNA". It matches the Rfam family "Bacterial small subunit ribosomal RNA", at positions 30 to 523 of the family's 1533-position model. The record is from RNAcentral.